UCAGAUCGAUUGUCAAAGAUCGUUCACGUGUAAAUCUAGCCUCGAUCCCAGGCCGAGUUUUCGCUUUUAUAACGGUUAGGCGAACAACUGGGCCUGGUACUAGUUGUCUGCGCAUGCGUCAGUCGUUCGUCAGAUUCUGACGAAUGGAUAUUCUCGUUCACUUUCGUGACAUUUAUAUUCGUGUACUAUCGUGUACUAGAAGUCAGUUCCCGUUUUAUCAUUAUUGGAAUCGAUUGGAAUGGCUCUUAGCUGAAGCUUCUCUCUUCUCUGAAGCUUAUUCUGAAGACUGAACAACAAGGGAAGAGGUAUAAAGCUUUGUCAAGCUUGUUAAGGUCAGAUAUUUUUGUGUGGGCCCUAUGGCCGGCUAUGCUAUCAAGUCUUGUUCAUGUUUGGCAAGAAUGUAGGUAGACUAUAGUUUCAUCAUUAAUAUGGUGGAUCAAGUGAAGAGUGUGAGCUAGAGAACUUGGUGCUGCCAUCAUCAGCUCGUCGACAAUGACACUAUAACCGAGAAAUUUAAUAUGUAUAGAUCUACACGUAUUUAAAAUGUCUACUUCUCUGUACAGGAGCAAUGGCUAAUAUCCAGCUAUCCCAACAGUGCUCCUCUUGGCUAUACUAACGGACGAGACUGGACAGUUUGAGACACAGGACUGGAGUAUGACCUGCUCAUUCAAGCGUUGCUGGGUAGCUCAGAGACAUCAAGAGAAUCUAUGUUUUCUCAAGCAAUGAGUUACGAGUUGGGGCCUAGAAUCAGAGAAGUCCAGCAGCCUGCUAAAUCUUUUUGAAACGUAAUUUGAAGGCAUUCAAUCAUCCUGAAGUUGCCCUGGGUCACUGUAAUUGUGCUGCAGCACAACUGGCAACUCCCCAGGCCUUUGUGAAGCAGCUCCCUAUGUGCAUCUUUUGUGUACUCACUCUGUGCAUUUUCUGUGUACAAAUUUCUAUUAUUGAUUUAUUAAAUAUUUUUGCCGACCACAAAUAUACAAUGAAAAUUUGACGCAUG
Molecule: long non-coding RNA, 997 nt
Organism: Halichondria panicea
Lineage: Eukaryota; Metazoa; Porifera; Demospongiae; Suberitida; Halichondriidae
Exons: 2
Source: RefSeq, a predicted model, not a curated record